AGUGAAUGCUGGCGGUAGGCCUAACACAUGCAAGUCGAACGGCAGCACAGUAAGAGCUUGCUCUUACGGGUGGCGAGUGGCGGACGGGUGAGGAAUACAUCGGAAUCUACUUUUUCGUGGGGGAUAACGUAGGGAAACUUACGCUAAUACCGCAUACGACCUACGGGUGAAAGCAGGGGAUCUUCGGACCUUGCGCGAUUGAAUGAGCCGAUGUCGGAUUAGCUAGUUGGCGGGGUAAAGGCCCACCAAGGCGACGAUCCGUAGCUGGUCUGAGAGGAUGAUCAGCCACACUGGAACUGAGGCACGGUCCAGACUCCUACGGGAGGCAGCAGUGGGGAAUAUUGGACAAUGGGCGCAAGCCUGAUCCAGCCAUACCGCGUGGGUGAAGAAGGCCUUCGGGUUGUAAAGCCCUUUUGUUGGGAAAGAAAAGCAGCAGGUUAAUACCCCGCUGUUCUGACGGUACCCAAAGAAUAAGCACCGGCUAACUUCGUG
This 492-nucleotide ribosomal RNA is filed under the name uncultured bacterium. Its description in RNAcentral is "partial 16S ribosomal RNA". It matches the Rfam family "Bacterial small subunit ribosomal RNA", at positions 29 to 507 of the family's 1533-position model. The record is from RNAcentral.